GAUGAACGCUGGCGGCGUGCCUAAUACAUGCAAGUCGAGCGAACAGACGAGGAGCUUGCUCCUCUGACGUUAGCGGCGGACGGGUGAGUAACACGUGGAUAACCUACCUAUAAGACUGGGAUAACUUCGGGAAACCGGAGCUAAUACCGGAUAAUAUAUUGAACCGCAUGGUUCAAUAGUGAGAGACGGUUUUGCUGUCACUUAUAGAUGGAUCCGCGCCGCAUUAGCUAGUUGGUAAGGUAACGGCUUACCAAGGCAACGAUGCGUAGCCGACCUGAGAGGGUGAUCGGCCACACUGGAACUGAGACACGGUCCAGACUCCUCCGGGAGGCAGCAGUAGGGAAUCUUCCGCAAUGGGCGAAAGCCUGACGGAGCAACGCCGCGUGAGUGAUGAAGGUCUUCGGAUCGUAAAACUCUGUUAUUAGGGAAGAACAAAUGUGUAAGUAACUAUGCACGUCUUGACGGUACCUAAUCAGAAAGCCACGGCUAACUACGU
Molecule: ribosomal RNA, 496 nt
Filed under: uncultured bacterium
Lineage: Bacteria
Description: partial 16S ribosomal RNA
Rfam family: Bacterial small subunit ribosomal RNA
Source: RNAcentral